This 1068-nucleotide unclassified non-coding RNA is filed under the name Leishmania donovani. RNAcentral's name for it is "gene:unknown". The record is from RNAcentral. Lineage: Eukaryota; Euglenozoa; Kinetoplastea; Trypanosomatida; Trypanosomatidae.
CUGCAGACGUUCCCCCCCCCCUUUGCUCGUUCCCGCAAAGACUCACAUGUGCUUAUCUCCUCUUCCGGUUACACAAGGACUUCUACUAUCCGCCUAGAGGUGAGACGCAUCACACACCUCCCACAUUUGUCAAAGAGCAUCACCACGGGCUCCUCUUGUCUCUUUCUCCUUCGUUAGCCUCGCCCCUUCCCGCGUGCUGCUUCAUCAAGUAAAUGUUCCGGCGUUGCGCUCGACGUCUAGGCCAUCAGCUCAUCAAGGAGCCGAUGGGUCACGAAGAGACCACCUUCAGUCGCGGUGACCGCACUCGCAACAACGCUCUCCAGCACAUAUACGGACUUAUCGGGUUUUGCGGAGUAGGCUGCGUGCUGGCGCUUUUUUCCUUUGUGUCGGGGCAGCGUCGUGUUCUGACCACAAUUACGGCAGACGGCACCAUCACCAAAGGGACGUGCCCCACGAAGUGGUGGAACUUCUGAGCCUCCUUGCAAGUGGGAAGCGGUGUGGUGCGUGCGGGGCUUCUCUGCUGCACAGGCACAUGGAAGCAUUCUGCGAGCGACGAGCAGGGAAAGCAGAAGCAGCGUUGACGGCAAAAUUCCUUUCUGUUUCGGCUCCGCGUCGCUGGUCUUUUUCGUUCGCUGGCCUCUCUUCUUUUUACUGUGCGUGAUAGCGAUCGUUUUAGUGUAGUGGGGCAGGAAGUACGCGUGUCUGUCGCGGAGCCGAUCGCCCCCAACACGUACUGGUAUUGGCUUUCUUCGGGGGACGAGGUGUAGGCAUGUGCACCAUCGGUGUUUUGUUCUCCUUUGCCUGUGGUCUUCUCUUACCGAAAAGCUGUGUACUGUUGUUGCUGUUUUUUUUUUGGUCACUGUCUCGGGCUUGCGUAACGUAGUACUCUAACGAUUCCCACACCCACUGACGAAGAAGGUGCCCUAUGAGGGAAGUGAGGUAAAAAAAAUAGGAAAGAGGUGCUGCUUCCCUUUUCCCCCUCUUUGUUUUUCGUUGGCUUCGUGGAUGGCCCCCCUUGGGCUACCAUGUGAACCAUCUUCAAGGCCUUGUACACCACAGGCGUACCUC